AUGGAAAAUGUAUGCAGUAAGUCGCUCUGGAUAAGAGCGUCUGCUAAAUGACAAAAA
Molecule: non-coding RNA, 57 nt
Organism: Salmo salar (Atlantic salmon)
Lineage: Eukaryota; Metazoa; Chordata; Actinopteri; Salmoniformes; Salmonidae
Source: Rfam